UUCCUACCCCGGAGGCUUGAAAAUGGGGGGGGUUGAACGAGAUUUGGAAUCCUGGUUUUCCCCCCGGUAAACAAAGAAUGCCCGCUUGUUUCCCCCCCUGGGCAGGGGGCCCAAGGGAAAACCAUAAGGCAUCCCCCCCGGGGGGUAGCCCGGCCACGUGAAAACCAAAAGAAAUGACGGGGGCCCCACCAUCGGAGGAACAAGAGGUUAAUUUGAUGAUACGCGAGGAACCUUACCCGGGCUGGAAUGCCAGAGGAAAGAUCCAGAGAUGGGGAUGCCCUUCGGGGCCUCUGUGAAGGUGCUGCAUGGUUGUCGUCAGCUCGUGCCGUGAGGUGUCGGCUUAAGUGCCAUAAAGAGAGCAACCCCUCUCUUCAGUUGCCAUCAGGUCAUGCUGGGCACUCUGGAGACACUGCCACCGUAAGGUGUGAGGAAGGUGGGGAGGACGUCAAAUCAGCACGGCCCUUACGUCCGGGGGUACACACGUGUUACAAUGGCCGGUACAGAGGGACGGUGGCCCGCAAGGUCCAUCCAAUCUUGAAAGCCGGUCCCAGUUCGGACUGGGGUGUGCAACCCGACCCCACGAAGCUGGAUUCGCUAGUAAUCGCGCAUCAGCCAUGGCGCGGUGAAUACGUUCCCGGGCCUUGCACACACCGCCCGUCAAG
Molecule: ribosomal RNA, 662 nt
Filed under: uncultured bacterium
Lineage: Bacteria
Description: partial 16S ribosomal RNA
Rfam family: Bacterial small subunit ribosomal RNA
Source: RNAcentral